This 100-nucleotide microRNA precursor is filed under the name Branchiostoma floridae (Florida lancelet). RNAcentral describes it as "microRNA bfl-mir-2075 precursor". Lineage: Eukaryota; Metazoa; Chordata; Leptocardii; Amphioxiformes; Branchiostomatidae. The record is from miRBase by way of RNAcentral.
UUGAUCUCGUCAACCUUCGUCAGAUGUCUGAUACACUGCUCUGACUUUUCGGAAGCGAGAAGUGUGAUGACGUCAGGAGUGAAACAAAAGUGGCGGGAUG